RNAcentral lists this unclassified non-coding RNA (207 nucleotides) under Hevea brasiliensis (rubber tree). The record is from RNAcentral. Lineage: Eukaryota; Viridiplantae; Streptophyta; Magnoliopsida; Malpighiales; Euphorbiaceae.
GGGAAAUUGAAGAAGACGACAAUUUUUGAAAUGGCAUGUUCUCUGUCUCUCAAGCAGCCAUUCACGUCUCUGCCUACCAACACAACCACUCAGGGUAAAUUGCCUGUAAACUUUCCAGUGACAUUUGGGUGCAUGAAUGGGAAGGGAAUUCUAAUAGAAAAGAAAUUCCAACUGAAUUGCUCAAGAGACAAAGAGAUGGAUCUCACU